RNAcentral lists this ribosomal RNA (448 nucleotides) under uncultured bacterium. Its description in RNAcentral is "bacterial SSU rRNA". It matches the Rfam family "Bacterial small subunit ribosomal RNA", at positions 355 to 794 of the family's 1533-position model. The record is from RNAcentral.
UGAGGAAUAUUGGUCAACGGGGGGCGGGAAGCCUGAACCAGCCACGCCGCGUGCGGGAAGGAGGCCCUAUGGGCUGUGAACCGCUUUUGCCUGGGGGCAAUAAGGGCGUCGCGCACGUCCGAUGAGAGUACCAGGGGAAUAAGCAUCGGCUAACUCCGUGCCAGCAGCCGCGGUAAUACGGGGGGAUGCGAGCGUUAUCCGGAUUCAUUGGGUUUAAAGGGUGCGUAGGCUGUGCGUCAAGUCAGGGGUGAAAUUCCGGGGCUCAACUCCGGGGCUGCCCUCGAUACUGUCGCGCUGGAGUGCGGAUGCCGCCGGAGGAAUGAGUGGUGUAGCGGUGAAAUGCUUAGAUAUCACUCAGAACACCGAUUGCGAAGGCAUCUCACAAAUCCGCAAUUGACGCUGAGGCACGAAAGCGUGGGGAUCGAACAGGAUUAGAUACCCUGGUAGU